UAAUCGGGGGCGCCGGAAUAUCGGCUGAGAUGUGAAAAUUUUUUCCUGUCCCUUAACACCUGAUUUGGGUAAUGCCAACGUAGGGAGAUUGUUUU
Molecule: non-coding RNA, 95 nt
Filed under: pig gut metagenome
Description: TPP riboswitch (THI element)
Rfam family: TPP riboswitch aptamer (THI element)
About the family: Vitamin B(1) in its active form thiamin pyrophosphate (TPP) is an essential coenzyme that is synthesised by coupling of pyrimidine and thiazole moieties in bacteria.
Source: RNAcentral